CCAAUAGCGUAUAUUAAAGUUGCUGCAGUUAAAAAGCUCGUAGUUGAAUUUCGGGAACAAUUUCCUGGUCGUGCCUAUGGUACGUACUGGUUUUGUUGGUCCCUUCCUUCUGAAGAACUGCUAUGUCAUUAACUUGGUGUCGUGGGGAAUCAGGACUAUUACUUUGAAAAAAUUAGAGUGUUUAAAGCAGGCUUAGGUUUGAAUACAUUAGCAUGGAAUAAUGAAAUAGGACGAUCGAUCUUAUUUUGUUGGUUUCUAGGAUUGAACGUAAUGAUUAAUAGGGAUAGUUGGGGGCAUUAGUAUUCAAUUGUCAGAGGUGAAAUUCUUGGAUUUAUUGAAGACUAACUACUGCGAAAGCAUUUGCCAAGGAUGUUUUCAUUAAUCAAGAACGAAAGUUAGGGGAUCGAAGACGAUCAGAUACCGUCGUAGUCUUAACCAUAAACUAUGCCGACUAGGGAUCGGAUGAUGUUAAUUGUUUAAUAACUCAUCCGGCGCCUUACG
RNAcentral lists this ribosomal RNA (501 nucleotides) under uncultured Glomeromycotina. Its description in RNAcentral is "partial small subunit ribosomal RNA". It matches the Rfam family "Eukaryotic small subunit ribosomal RNA", at positions 591 to 1092 of the family's 1831-position model. The record is from RNAcentral. Lineage: Eukaryota; Fungi; Glomeromycota.